GACGAACGCUGGCGGCGUGCUUAACACAUGCAAGUCGAACGGUGAAGCGCCUUCCUUUUUGGUGGGUGUGGAUGAGUGGCGAACGGGUGAGUAACACGUGAGUAACCUGCCCCCUUCUUCUGGAUAACCGCAUGAAAGUGUGGCUAAUACGGGAUAUUCUGGGUCUGUCGCAUGAUUGGUCUGGGAAAGAUAUUGUUUCGGUUGGGGAUGGGCUCGCGGCCUAUCAGCUUGUUGGUGGGGUGAUGGCCUACCAAGGCGGUGACGGGUAGCCGGCCUGAGAGGGUGGACGGUCACACUGGGACUGAGACACGGGCCAGACUCCUACGGGAGGCAGCAGUGGGGAAUAUUGCACAAUGGGCGAAAGCCUGAUGCAGCGACGCCGCGUGAGGGAUGGAGGCCUUCGGGUUGUGAACCUCUUUCGCCAGUGAAGCAGGCCUGCCUCGUUUGUGGGUGGGUUGACGGUAGCUGGAUAAGAAGCGCCGGCUAACUACGUG
RNAcentral lists this ribosomal RNA (494 nucleotides) under uncultured bacterium. Its description in RNAcentral is "partial 16S ribosomal RNA". It matches the Rfam family "Bacterial small subunit ribosomal RNA", at positions 28 to 507 of the family's 1533-position model. The record is from RNAcentral.